GUCCAGUGUCCCUGGUGGUCCAGUGGGUUAACUCUCCGGUCUCAGCUCCGCCGGGCGCAGAGCUGCAGACCGUGUAAUAAAAGUCUGGUGAACUCCCAGAGUGUUGCCAUGGUGACACUCUAGGUGCUCGCGGGACUUCUAUCACACGGUCUGCAGCUCUGCAACCGGCGGAGCUGCAUACCGGAGGUGCUGGGCAGACUGAUUGGAGGAAGCCCGGUGGGAUACAGGGCAAGCCGCCGGUCCCCCUCCUGGUGUCGGGCCUGCAGUCACAGACCGAGAGCCCGACUAAUCAGUCUGCAUUCCUGAGUAUCCAGAGGCUCUGCAUGUGUGGGUCAGCGCGACCCACUGGGAAUCGCCCUGCGACCCACACUUUGGGAACCGCUGGCCUAAGGAGUGGUCUUCUUACGCUUUAUACUUUGUGACGACGAUUUAAAAAAAAAAAAAAAUUUUAAAUGAGAGAACAUAGUAAACAAUUCAAUUACAUAACAUAUUUGUAUCUCACUGGAUAUAAGGAUAAAAAACAAAGGGGGUAAACAGGUUGUGUAGAUGAGGAUAUAAUUAUAUAAGUUUGAGGAAGACACCUAUUUGUAAUGCUAGAAGUGGUAUUCUAACCCCAAAAUAAAAUAGCCAGAGAUGUUAUUGUCUCUUUCACGAUUAAGUGGGAAUGAAACAUAGUCCUACCUGAUUUUCAGUCUGCCCUAUCUCUGGAAGGUGCCCAGUGAUCACCUAGGGGCAUGUGGUGGGGUAAUUGCUGGAGACUUUCAGGAGUAGGAUUGGUUCCUGUAUGUCAGUGGAGUCUUCACCUUAAAAGACAUUGUUGCCGUAGGUUACGCCAUUAGGACUAUUCUAUUAGGACAUACUAGACUGGGUACCAGAGGGGAAAAUGGAUCUAAAAUCUGUUUCUGGAACAGGUUAUUUACUGGAUACAAAAGUUAGAGUAGGUAUGAACUGGAGAAUAGGUCAAAAAUAGAACACUUUAGGCAACAAGGGUUGUCUGGUAGUAUAGUGCCUUGAAGAGAAUCUCAGAAACAAAACUCACAAAAACUGGUUAGAACCAAGAGUCUGUUGGACUAGUUCAGUGACCAGUGCAUUGUAGUUUCAUUUAGGAUAAUAGUCAACUUCUGUCACGAAGUAACAAGGACGUUAUAAUCCAUCAUGGAGGUUGAGUUUGCAUGUACAUUGCAUUGGCAAGUUUUACAUCAUAAUCAAAUUACAGAUCUAUAGAAGGAAAAGACAGACUAAAUGACAAGACUGCAUCACAGUUUUUUGACACAGUGGUGAAAUAUCUACUUUUAUAUAGCAGUCUAUAACAGUGAAACAUAUUGCUGGCUGAGAAACUUGGGAAAUGUAGAUGGGGAACAUCCAGAGUAACGAUGGUUAGUUAUUACUGGCCUAGACAUUUUAUCAUAUUUCACAAAGAACUCUGAAACUGAUAGAUCCAAUGUGGGCCCGGUGGCCGUGGAGUGCAGGGGAGGUGAAUUUUACUUCCCUUGGGCUGUCUCUUGUGGCCGCUGCCAUCUUAAUGCUGCUGUCCUCUGUAGACAACUGAAGCGCCAGGAGCUACAUCAUUGCUUUACUCUUGCGCAUGUGCAGGAGUACAACACUGAGAUCUAAGGAGGAUCCCACAAGACCCCAGAAUCCUCCAUAGACGGAGCCUGAAUCCCACAGCCAUCAUUUGUUGCUGCCGGGGUUGGACAAAAGUUGACUGCGUAAUUUUGCCUUUUGUCAACAUCAGACUUUACCAUAAGACAAAGUCAUCUCUACUUUGUCUAGUGGUAUCCCUUUGGUUUGCGUUGGAAUUUCAGUGAAAUUCCGACAGUCUUGAUCAGUAUUUCUUUAUCAACAUUUCCACUUAGGGGUGUACUCACUUUUGUUGCCAACUGUUUAGACAUUAAUGGCUGUGUGUUGAGUUAUUUUGAGGCGACAGCAAAUUUACACUGUUAUACAGGCUGUACACUUACUACUUUAUAUUGUAGCAGAGUGUAAUUUCUUCAGUGUUGUCACAUGAAAAGAUAUAAUAAAAUAUUUACACAAAUGUGAGGGGUGUACUCACUUUUGUGAGAAAUCAAGCUGAUUUUCUGCCUAUUGAAACUCAUCAAUAAUAGUAACAUUGUAUCUGUCAUUGUAUCUAUUAUAUUAUCAGUUUACAUGCAGCCUUGACCUCACAACCCCCCCAAAAAUUGUAAACAUUGAAAAAAAAACAAAUCAUCCCAUUCUCAGCAUGUGUAUAUAUAAUUCUUCUUAAUCAAAACAAGAGGAAUCCUGAUGGGAGUUGUAUUUCAAGAACUAGGGGACUAGCAGGGUUCCCAAUCCUGCUAUGGCUUAUAUAGUUUGUACUAAUUUACCAGAAGGAUAUUAUUUAGUGUUUCUCUGGGCUUUUCAUAGAUUUCUCCAUGGCUCAUUGAUCCCUAAAUAGCCUUUUUUAAUACAUUAAAUGAGUUACUCUGUGACACAAAGCCUCUCAUAUUUCACUUAGAACAGGUUCCUUGUAUUUAUCACUGCCUCUUUCAUUCUUGUCUUAAAAUGUUCAGAUGAAGGAUGACUCACUCUGAUCUGCAGGAGUUGUUCCUCCUUUUCAGUGCUUUUUUUAAGCAGUUAUUUUUGUCAUGUAAAAUGCAAAAUAAGAUGUCAAGUUAAAUGAGUUUUCACACUCCUGACAACUUGAAGUGACAAGAAGGGAGGGACUGAUGACAUCUACCAGUAAACUGUGAGCCUGGCUCAUGCCAAGAGAUCGUUUGAUUAUGUCAAUCAAUUUGGCUCCCUUUUAAAGGAGAAGAAUGCUUCAGGGGGCAAAAACCUUUAAGUACAGUCUGCAAUACAGUAGUAUGUUGUCCAAAACAGUGUAUUUUGUUUUUCCUUUAAUCUCCAGUUACCUAGAUAUAUUUAUAUUGCAUAUUGUAGGUUUUCAGCCAGGCUCAUUCCUUGACAUUAUGUUGUACCACCUCUUCUUACUGUCCAACUCUUAUUCCAUAACUCUUUUGUGGCCACUGCUCGAUUAUUCAGAGGAAGACUCCAUGGCUUGUGUACCUCUUAUGUCACACGUCUUGCCUUGUGAAUUUAUAGCAGCAGCAGCUGCUGAUGGAAUUGUACGAAGUAUUCUGUUCCAUUCCCAAAACCUUAAGGGUAUAUAUGAGUAUGUGUAGAAGAAGAGCUUGGAUAUCGAAAGACACAUUGUGUAACAAAAUUAACCAAUGUUGGAAACGUGCCAAAGUGUUACUAGUUCCUAAAAUAAAUGCACUUGAUCAAUAUAGACUACAUUCUGGAUGAACACUGGACUAAAAAUGAAACCAUACAUUUUUCUGAAAUAACUUUCAAUUCAUUUCAAAUUCCUGACAUUUUAGCAUACAUUUAGUCACACUUUACUGUAUACAAUAACCAUGUCUGAAGCAAAAUUUCCCGUAUUUAAAUGAAUGCUUUUGGUACAUUCUAUCAUUUUUUGGUUUGCUUACAAAAAUAUUAGUAUUGGGAUUUCUCAAAUCUUUAAGUUUCUUUUUGUUGAUCUCGUACAUGACAAUCCUCGCUCUGACUGUAGUAUUAAGUAUAUAAUCGGUAUGGUGAAUAUUCGGUAAGGAGCAGUCACCUUGAUUAGUAGACAUGAGCAUUUGUUGCGUUCGUCUUUAAACAAAUCAAUUCAUAAGAAACAAGACUAUUCUAAUCCACUUUUAUUGAAUGAUUCAGAGUUAGAAUUCCUAGCUAUUUGCCCGAACCAAUCGAUGUGUUCAAAAACUAUUUGAAAGAUUUUGUUUCAGACAAAUAAAUUCAUUGCCAAGCGAAUUUUGUUUAGACAAAUGAUUUGAAUGAUUUGAUACUUGUGCCAGGAUACAUUUUUUUUUAAUUAAAUGAUCAAUAAACACAAUAUUAAUAUAAGAUUUUCAAGCAAUGUUUUCCCAGGCAAGGAUAACUGCUUUACAUGCACACGUAACAGAAUUGCUGUCUCAGAUGUACUCCGCUAAAAAAUUUAAAUGGCUGCUCCCAGCAAUACAAUGCUGUUUUCAAAUAAAUGAAAUGUGCUGGUAACAUUAAGCCCAA
Molecule: long non-coding RNA, 4029 nt
Filed under: Pelobates cultripes (western spadefoot toad)
Lineage: Eukaryota; Metazoa; Chordata; Amphibia; Anura; Pelobatidae
Source: RNAcentral